CAUAAAAAUCUGACAAACAUGGUCAGACCUUGUUAAGUUGUUAUUUCUGUGUAAAAGGAAGGAAGCAGAGAGAAGAAGUAUAAAAAGCUCUUUGUUUCCUUCACAGUUCUUUGGUAUCUGCUGUGCUGCUGCUUCACUCUCUCUCUUUACAGAAAGUUGUAGAAGUUUUCAGACGUGUCACUGCUGGAUGUGAGGAUGGGAGCCACUUUGCUCUGUGAGCUGGGCCUAUUCUUGCUCUGUACGCUCCUCUGCACUGGACACGCUCAAGAUGCUGUGCUAACUAUUGAACCCAACUGGUCCAGUUUUUUCAUUGGAGAGUUUGUUACCUUCAAAUGUGACAUGAAAGAAGGAAAAGACACUGACUGGCAUUACCAAAUCCUUAGGAAUGGUCAGGGAUUUCUCCCCUACAACA
This is a long non-coding RNA of Oreochromis niloticus (Nile tilapia), 412 nucleotides long. RefSeq lists it as uncharacterized. The transcript is spliced from 3 exons. NCBI's taxonomy places the organism in Eukaryota, Metazoa, Chordata, Actinopteri, Cichliformes, Cichlidae. The record is from RefSeq and is a predicted model, not a curated record.